GGUUUGGAUAGGCAGUGCAGUUAUAUGUGGUUAGUAUAAAAACAUAGUGGCGAUGAGAUUAAAUAUUGUAGUUGUAACAGGCCUAUUUUGCCCGGCCCAAGCCCAAAGUAGACAACCAAAAAUUACCAGUCCAAAGUCCAAAAUUCAAAGCCCAAUUACAAUAUCAAACUCAAACCACAACCCAAAAUCUCUAACCCAAUUCAUAUUGGCCCAAUAGGCCCAAAAGACUAAACCAACUCAGAAACCCUAGGGUUUCUGAACCUUUGUAGCGCCGCACCCCUCACGUGCUAAGUCAGCACGCUCGUCCCCCGAAGAUCACCAUUCUUGGCAUCUUGCACCAAAAUAGUAACCUCUACCUCGUUGACUUCUUCAUGACCUACAAAUACAACAAAGAAAAGAAAGUAGCAAAACAGAGAAAGCAAAUAGGAACAAUAGAAGCAGAAGCCUAAACAAUAAAAAUCAAAUCAAAUCAAUAUUACGGCUAUAAAAAGCCCCAAGAUCAGAUUGUAUUUUUUUACGGAUUCUUGAAUAGAAAAAAGAAAACAGUCAAAAGCAAACAUUUCAAAGGUGCCUCUUUUAUUUUAAUUUUUUUCAUUUUACUCGAAAUAAAAUCAUAAAUGAUAAAAUCUCACCGUUGGUCCAUUCUCCAUCGUGGUUGAGAACCUCUAGUGACCCAAACAUCACAAAACCCAUUCGGGUUCCAACGAGGGUUGGAGGAGUGGCGAAGACGGAGGUUUUCUUCCCUUGCAGUUCACCCUUUCUUUUCGUUUUUGUUGUUUUUUUUUUUGUUUUUUUUUAAAUCUAUCCUAGAUCUAUUUAAAAGAAAAAAGAAAAAAGGAGGGGGAUUCGAAAUGCCAUGGCAGAGCCAUAGCGGAGCCAUGUCCUAGACUCGCUGGAGCCACGCCGGACCCCUUGGCCGGAUUCUAGAAUUUGAGGGAGAGGGUUGAGAGCCCCUUUUGUUUUUUUGUUUGAAAAGUAAAAAAAUGAAGUUUUUUUUAAAAAAGAAAUAAUUUAAAUAGC
Molecule: long non-coding RNA, 1020 nt
Filed under: Gossypium barbadense (sea-island cotton)
Lineage: Eukaryota; Viridiplantae; Streptophyta; Magnoliopsida; Malvales; Malvaceae
Description: long non-coding RNA (GBAR_LNC011621)
Source: RNAcentral